Mustela erminea (ermine) is the source of this 2118-nucleotide long non-coding RNA. RefSeq lists it as uncharacterized. Lineage: Eukaryota; Metazoa; Chordata; Mammalia; Carnivora; Mustelidae. The transcript is spliced from 3 exons. The record is from RefSeq and is a predicted model, not a curated record.
AACCAAUUUUUGAACAGCCACAAGUAUUUAUGGCAAGCUGACUGCACUGAGAGUACAGUGGUGGAAAAGACCCAGUUCCUCGAAAAUGUUUAGAGCAACGUUAUUCCUCAUCCCCAAAGGUGGAAACUAUUAAAAUGCCCUUCAACAGGAAAUGGAUAAAUAUGAGAUGACAUAGAGGAUAGAAUAUUACUCGGCCGUAAAAAGGAAUGAAGUAGUGAUACAUACAACGACGUGGUUGAACCUUAAAAAUAUGUAUGCUAAAUGAGAGAAGCCGGAUGCAAAGGGCCAUAUAUAAUAUGAUACCAUGUACAUGAAAUAUCCAGCACAACCACCUGGCAGCCAGGCAAGCUGACUGAGGAGGAAGGAGUUACAAGGAUGAAUGAGAUGAAGACUCUGUCUGCUGUCUAGCCAGCUUACAUUCUAAUGCCCGCAGACAACUGUGAAAUGAGGUAGAGCAGUGCAUGCCCUGGGAGAGGGUCCUGUCAAACUCUCGGGUGCAAGUCCAGGAGGUGGAAAGGAAAGAAUCUCCAUCCAGGAGAUGGACUCACUUUAUACCCACGCAGGGACCCAUGGUUAUGAGGAUGCCAUGCCUCAGGCUUUGUCUUCGCAUUUUAUUCCAUCGGUAGAAGAGGCCAGUUAGGCAUCUGGCAUGUAGUGUCCGGGUUCGAUCAGCAACUUGCUGAGAAUGAGGGAUGUGCUCCAACUGCGGGCUGAUCCUGGUCUCUUACUUUUCUCUCUCCAGAAGUUGCCUGCCUGGCUUUCCACAGGCUCUGGGGUGGUCUGUUAGGGGCAUGAGGUGUUGAGGGGAAGGAGAUCCUCUAGCUGGGGUUUCACUCUGCCCAAGAGGGGGCUCGGUACUUUCACUGUAGGUAUUCCUCAGAGUUGUCCUUUGAAACAGGCAUUGUAACCAUCCCUCUUUUGCUGACGAGGCCCAGAAAGAUGAAGAGAUCUGUCUAAAUCACGAAGUCAAGAAGUGAUGGAGUCAGGAUUCGACCCAAGACCUGGGGCCCUGCACAGGCUCUUUGUGUGGGCUUCACCCCACAGCCUUCCUGUCUGGCUAAGAACCAGUGCUACAGAGCCUAAACCUGAAUUAGGACAAGCCCUCCAACUGAAAACAUUAAAGGGAACAUUAGCAGAAAGCUGAAAAUAUUAAGAACUAGUCAUUUAAAAUAUGCAUGGCCCAGACCUUGCCCUCCCCGGUGACCAAGGCUCACUGCCUCGAGACCUUCCAGCCAGGGGUCCAACGACUGAACUGCUUUUUAGGACAAGGUUGCAUACAUCAGAAGCCAGCUGGCAGCGAGGAUGGGAGGAGAUGGAAAUAACUGGUCAAAUUUUUGCUGGAAAAUCACCUCAGCUGUCUGACAAAAAGGCAGCAAAUGUUGGAACUCAUCUCAGCUGAGCCGCUGCUCUGCGCUCAGAUUGUGGACCUCAAAAGGAAGCAGAGUUCAGUCAGCAGAUAUGGGAAAAGAAAAGGACGGGGAGGUGUUCCCAGCCGGGGCUGUGAGGAGAUGAGAAUUGUCUGGCAGGUGGCAGGUGAGACUUGCAACGCAGAUGUCAAUUUUAAUGCCGCUGCAGUUCUAACUGGGGCUAUGGGUUUCGUGUGAGCCCCAAGAAAUGACUGAUUGGAAAAGAUGUUUUUUUCAAGGAGGAUGAAAGUAAAAAUAAUAAGAGGGACAGGAGAGAGAUCUCAAGAUACCCACCCACGGGACAGAGGAGGAGAUUGUAAAAGUCUUCCCAAGAUCGUAAAUGACAAGUAAGGUGAAAUUAAAAUCCAUUGACAAAAAUAUCCUGUAAUCAUCCCGUAUUUCUGUUGUCUUGGUGCCAAAGUGGGAUUAAUGCCUGAAUCUAAUCUUCCGGGCCGCACAAAGGGUAUUUUUCUUUCCCUGUCAUUUUGUGGCCUGUAUGUGGUGUGGGGGUGAUGAUGGGGGAGGAGAAAGGUGAAAAGGAACCACCCCCCCCAGCAGGAGGUGUGUCCACAGAGCAGCUGGGCUGGGCUUCACCAUGGAGGACCAAGGACCCUGAGGAUGGGCCAGUUUCAGGAGCAGGAGGCAGCAGAUUUGUUUGCUGGAAAACCAAACCAAACCAAACCAAAACCAAAAAGACAGAGGGCCCUUUUGA